This 3121-nucleotide ribosomal RNA is filed under the name Streptomyces luteogriseus. RNAcentral's name for it is "23S ribosomal RNA". It matches the Rfam family "Bacterial large subunit ribosomal RNA". The record is from RNAcentral. Lineage: Bacteria; Bacillati; Actinomycetota; Actinomycetes; Kitasatosporales; Streptomycetaceae.
GGCCAAGUUUUUAAGGGCGCACGGUGGAUGCCUUGGCACCAGGAACCGAUGAAGGACGUGGGAGGCCACGAUAGUCCCCGGGGAGUCGUCAACCAGGCUUUGAUCCGGGGGUUUCCGAAUGGGGAAACCCGGCAGUCGUCAUGGGCUGUCACCCAUGCCUGAACACAUAGGGCAUGUGGAGGGAACGCGGGGAAGUGAAACAUCUCAGUACCCGCAGGAAGAGAAAACAACCGUGAUUCCGGGAGUAGUGGCGAGCGAAACCGGAUGAGGCUAAACCGUAUACGUGUGAGACCCGGCAGGGGUUGCGUAUGCGGGGUUGUGGGAUCUCUCUUCCACGGUCUGCCGGCCGUGGGACGAGUCAGAAACCGUUGAUGUAGGCGAAGGACAUGCGAAAGGUCCGGCGUAGAGGGUAAGACCCCCGUAGUCGAAACAUCAGCGGCUCGUUUGAGAGACACCCAAGUAGCACGGGGCCCGAGAAAUCCCGUGUGAAUCUGGCGGGACCACCCGCUAAGCCUAAAUAUUCCCUGGUGACCGAUAGCGGAUAGUACCGUGAGGGAAUGGUGAAAAGUACCGCGGGAGCGGAGUGAAAUAGUACCUGAAACCGUGUGCCUACAAGCCGUGGGAGCGUCGGAACAAGGCUUGCCUUGUUCUCGUGACUGCGUGCCUUUUGAAGAAUGAGCCUGCGAGUUUGCGGUGUGUUGCGAGGUUAACCCGUGUGGGGAAGCCGUAGCGAAAGCGAGUCCGAAUAGGGCGAUUCAGUAGCACGCUCAAGACCCGAAGCGGAGUGAUCUAGCCAUGGGCAGGUUGAAGCGGAGGUAAGACUUCGUGGAGGACCGAACCCACCAGGGUUGAAAACCUGGGGGAUGACCUGUGGUUAGGGGUGAAAGGCCAAUCAAACUCCGUGAUAGCUGGUUCUCCCCGAAAUGCAUUUAGGUGCAGCGUCGUGUGUUUCUUGCCGGAGGUAGAGCACUGGAUAGGCGAUGGGCCCUACCGGGUUACUGACCUUAGCCAAACUCCGAAUGCCGGUAAGUGAGAGCGCGGCAGUGAGACUGUGGGGGAUAAGCUCCAUGGUCGAGAGGGAAACAGCCCAGAGCAUCGACUAAGGCCCCUAAGCGUACGCUAAGUGGGAAAGGAUGUGGAGUCGCAGAGACAACCAGGAGGUUGGCUUAGAAGCAGCCACCCUUGAAAGAGUGCGUAAUAGCUCACUGGUCUAGUGAUUCCGCGCCGACAAUGUAGCGGGGCUCAAGCGUACCGCCGAAGUCGUGUCAUUGCGAUAUAUACCCCCAACGGGGAUCGUGAUGGGUAGGGGAGCGUCGUGUGCCGGGUGAAGCAGCCGCGGAAGCGAGUUGUGGACGGUUCACGAGUGAGAAUGCAGGCAUGAGUAGCGAUACAAACGUGAGAAACGUUUGCGCCGAUUGACUAAGGGUUCCUGGGUCAAGCUGAUCUGCCCAGGGUAAGUCGGGACCUAAGGCGAGGCCGACAGGCGUAGUCGAUGGAUAACCGGUUGAUAUUCCGGUACCCGCUGUGAAGCGUCAAACAUCGAGCAUCGUGAUGCUAAGGCCGUGAAGCCGUUCCGGACCCUUCGGGGAAAGGAAAGUGGUGGAGCCGCCGAACCAAGCGGUUAGUAGGUGAGUGAUGGGGUGACGCAGGAAGGUAGUCCAUCCCGGGCGGUGGUUGUCCCGGGGUAAGGGUGUAGGCCGUGAUCCAGGCAAAUCCGGAUCACUUGUGGCUGAGACCUGAUGCCGAGCCGAUUGUGGUGAAGUGGAUGAUCCUAUGCUGUCGAGAAAAGCCUCUAGCGAGUUUCAUGGCGGCCCGUACCCUAAACCGACUCAGGUGGUCAGGUAGAGAAUACCGAGGCGUUCGGGUGAACUAUGGUUAAGGAACUCGGCAAAAUGCCCCCGUAACUUCGGGAGAAGGGGGGCCACACCUGGUGAGAACACUUGCUGUUCGAGCUGGGGGUGGCCGCAGAGACCAGCGAGAAGCGACUGUUUACUAAAAACACAGGUCCGUGCGAAGCCGUAAGGCGAUGUAUACGGACUGACGCCUGCCCGGUGCUGGAACGUUAAGGGGACCGGUUAGCUCCAUUUCGGUGGGGCGAAGCUGAGAACUUAAGCGCCAGUAAACGGCGGUGGUAACUAUAACCAUCCUAAGGUAGCGAAAUUCCUUGUCGGGUAAGUUCCGACCUGCACGAAUGGCGUAACGACUUCUCGACUGUCUCAACCAUAGGCCCGGUGAAAUUGCACUACGAGUAAAGAUGCUCGUUUCGCGCAGCAGGACGGAAAGACCCCGGGACCUUUACUACAGUUUGAUAUUGGUGUUCGGUUCGGCUUGUGUAGGAUAGCUGGGAGACUGUGAACUCUGGACGCCAGUUCAGGGGGAGUCGUCGUUGAAAUACCAGUCUGGUCGUGCUGGAUGUCUAACCUGGGUCCGUGAUCCGGAUCAGGGACAGUGUCUGAUGGGUAGUUUAACUGGGGCGGUUGCCUCCUAAAGAGUAACGGAGGCGCCCAAAGGUUCCCUCAGCCUGGUUGGCAAUCAGGUGUUGAGUGUAAGUGCACAAGGGAGCUUGACUGUGAGACCGACGGGUCGAGCAGGGACGAAAGUCGGGACUAGUGAUCCGGCGGUGGCUUGUGGAAGCGCCGUCGCUCAACGGAUAAAAGGUACCCCGGGGAUAACAGGCUGAUCUUCCCCAAGAGUCCAUAUCGACGGGAUGGUUUGGCACCUCGAUGUCGGCUCGUCGCAUCCUGGGGCUGGAGUCGGUCCCAAGGGUUGGGCUGUUCGCCCAUUAAAGCGGUACGCGAGCUGGGUUUAGAACGUCGUGAGACAGUUCGGUCCCUAUCCGCUGUGCGCGUAGGAAUAUUGAGAAGGGCUGUCCCUAGUACGAGAGGACCGGGACGGACGAACCUCUGGUGUGCCAGUUGUCCUGCCAAGGGCAUGGCUGGUUGGCUACGUUCGGGAGGGAUAACCGCUGAAAGCAUCUAAGCGGGAAGCCUGCUUCGAGAUGAGUAUUCCCACCUCCUUGAGAGGGUAAGGCUCCCAGUAGACGACUGGGUUGAUAGGCCGGAUAUGGAAGCACGGUAACGUGUGGAGUUGACCGGUACUAAUAGGCCGAGGGCUUGUCCUC